UGGGGAAUAUUGCACAAUGGGCGCAAGCCUGAUGCAGCCAUGCCGCGUGUAUGAAGAAGGCCUUCGGGUUGUAAAGUACUUUCAGCGAGGAGGAAGGCGUUGUGGUUAAUAACCGCAACGAUUGACGUUACUCGCAGAAGAAGCACCGGCUAACUCCGUGCCAGCAGCCGCGGUAAUACGGAGGGUGCAAGCGUUAAUCGGAAUUACUGGGCGUAAAGCGCACGCAGGCGGUCUGUCAAGUCGGAUGUGAAAUCCCCGGGCUCAACCUGGGAACUGCAUCCGAAACUGGCAGGCUAGAGUCUUGUAGAGGGGGGUAGAAUUCCAGGUGUAGCGGUGAAAUGCGUAGAGAUCUGGAGGAAUACCCGUGGCGAAGGCGGCCCCCUGGACAAAGACUGACGCUCAGGUGCGAAAGCGUGGGGAGCAAACA
This 427-nucleotide ribosomal RNA is filed under the name uncultured bacterium. Its description in RNAcentral is "partial 16S ribosomal RNA". It matches the Rfam family "Bacterial small subunit ribosomal RNA", at positions 355 to 774 of the family's 1533-position model. The record is from RNAcentral.